RNAcentral lists this ribosomal RNA (440 nucleotides) under uncultured bacterium. Its description in RNAcentral is "partial 16S ribosomal RNA". It matches the Rfam family "Bacterial small subunit ribosomal RNA", at positions 338 to 795 of the family's 1533-position model. The record is from RNAcentral.
CCUACGGGAGGCAGCAGUGGGGAAUAUUGCACAAUGGGGGAAACCCUGAUGCAGCGACGCCGCGUGAGUGAAGAAGUAUUUCGGUAUGUAAAGCUCUAUCAGCAGGGAAGAAAAUGACGGUACCUGACUAAGAAGCCCCGGCUAACUACGUGCCAGCAGCCGCGGGAAUACGUAGGGGGCAAGCGUUAUCCGGAUUUACUGGGUGGAAAGGGAACGUAGACGGUGAUGCCAGUCAGAAUUGAAAGCCCGGGGCUCAACUCCGGGACUGCUUUUGAAACUGUGUGACUGGAGUGCAGGAGAGGUAAGCGGAAGUCCUGGUGUAGCGGUGAAAUGCGUAGAUAUCAGGAGGAACACCAGUGGCGAAGGCGGCUUACUGGACUGUAACUGACGUUGAGGCUCGAAAGCGUGGGGAGCAAACAGGAUUAGAUACCCCAGUAGUC